GACGAACGCUGGCGGCGUGCUUAACACAUGCAAGUCGAACGGAAAGGCCCUGCUUUUGUGGGGUGCUCGAGUGGCGAACGGGUGAGUAACACGUGAGUAACCUGCCCUUGACUUUGGGAUAACUUCAGGAAACUGGGGCUAAUACCGGAUAGGAGCUCCUGCUGCAUGGUGGGGGUUGGAAAGUUUCGGCGGUUGGGGAUGGACUCGCGGCUUAUCAGCUUGUUGGUGGGGUAGUGGCUUACCAAGGCUUUGACGGGUAGCCGGCCUGAGAGGGUGACCGGCCACAUUGGGACUGAGAUACGGCCCAGACCACUACGGGAGGCAGCAGUGGGGAAUAUUGCACAAUGGGCGGAAGCCUGAUGCAGCAACGCCGCGUGCGGGAUGACGGCCUUCGGGUUGUAAACCGCUUUCGCCUGUGACGAAGCGUGAGUGACGGUAAUGGGUAAAGAAGCACCGGCUAACUACGUG
Molecule: ribosomal RNA, 468 nt
Filed under: uncultured bacterium
Lineage: Bacteria
Description: partial 16S ribosomal RNA
Rfam family: Bacterial small subunit ribosomal RNA
Source: RNAcentral